CUGACAACCUUGGAAAGUUAAGUCAUCCAUUUAUUCACAAAAUAGGCAGUGCACUUGCAGUGACAAUGCUCACUUCCCUUUCACUGACCUGCCAAGCAGUUUGAACUCUUUUCCAAAAGACCACAUCUGGUGAGAAAAGAGUCUUAACCAUUAAGGAGCAAAUGCCCACAUCA
This 173-nucleotide small RNA is filed under the name Neogale vison (American mink). Its description in RNAcentral is "Neovison vison (American mink) TUC338 (ENSNVIG00000003965.1)". The record is from RNAcentral. Lineage: Eukaryota; Metazoa; Chordata; Mammalia; Carnivora; Mustelidae.